AUUGAACGCUGGCGGCAGGCCUAACACAUGCAAGUCGAGCGGAUGACGGGAGCUUGCUCCUUGAUUCAGCGGAGGACGGGUGAGUAAUGCCUAGGAAUCUGCCUGGUAGUGGGGGACAACGUUUCGAAAGGAACGCUAAUACCGCAUACGUCCUACGGGAGAAAGCAGGGGACCUUCGGGCCUUGCGCUAUCAGAUGAGCCUAGGUCGGAUUAGCUUGUUGGUGAGGUAAUGGCUCACCAAGGCGACGAUCCGUAACUGGUCUGAGAGGAUGAUCAGUCACACUGGAACUGAGACACGGUCCAGACUCCUACGGGAGGCAGCAGUGGGGAAUAUUGGACAAUGGGCGAAAGCCUGAUCCAGCCAUGCCGCGUGUGUGAAGAAGGUCUUCGGAUUGUAAAGCACUUUAAGUUGGGAGGAAGGGUUGUAGAUUAAUACUCUGCAAUUUUGACGUUACCGACAGAAUAAGCACCGGCUAACUCUGUG
This 484-nucleotide ribosomal RNA is filed under the name uncultured bacterium. RNAcentral's name for it is "partial 16S ribosomal RNA". It matches the Rfam family "Bacterial small subunit ribosomal RNA", at positions 30 to 507 of the family's 1533-position model. The record is from RNAcentral.